AAAUAGAUACCCGGGUAGUCCACGCCGUAAACGAUGAGUGCUAAGUGUUAGGGGUUUCCGCCCCUUAGUGCUGCAGCUAACGCAUUAAGCACUCCGCCUGGGGAGUACGGUCGCAAGACUGAAACUCAAAGGAAUUGACGGGGGCCCGCACAAGCGGUGGAGCAUGUGGUUUAAUUCGAAGCAACGCGAAGAACCUUACCAGGUCUUGACAUCCCAUUGACCGCUAUGGAGACAUAGCUUUCCCUUCGGGGACAGUGAUAACAGGUGGUGCAUGGUUGUCGUCAGCUCGUGUCGUGAGAUGUUGGGUUAAGUCCCGCAACGAGCGCAACCCUUGUUCUUAGUUGCCAUCAUUUAGUUGGGCACUCUAAGGAGACUGCCGGUGACAAACCGGAGGAAGGUGGGGAUGACGUCAAAUCAUCAUGCCCCUUAUGACCUGGGCUACACACGUGCUACAAUGGACGGUACAAACGGUUGCCAACCCGGCGAGGGGGAGCUAAUCCGAUAAAACCGUUCUCAGUUCGGAUUGUAGGCUGCAACUCGCCUAC
Molecule: ribosomal RNA, 545 nt
Filed under: uncultured bacterium
Lineage: Bacteria
Description: bacterial SSU rRNA
Rfam family: Bacterial small subunit ribosomal RNA
Source: RNAcentral